This is a long non-coding RNA of Gossypium arboreum, 1160 nucleotides long. RefSeq lists it as uncharacterized. The transcript has 4 exons. The record is from RefSeq and is a predicted model, not a curated record. NCBI's taxonomy places the organism in Eukaryota, Viridiplantae, Streptophyta, Magnoliopsida, Malvales, Malvaceae.
CAAAUUUAGGGUUUUAAGCAGUGUUUAGAUGAUGUUUCACUCUAUUAAUUUUACUUUUGCUUGGUGUCAUUUUCCUGCUUUCUCCAUGAUUAUGAUUUAUGUUAUCCCAAGUGGGAAAAUACGGUAUUCUAUGUAUGUGAUUGCUGUCUGUCAAAGUUUCCAGGGUUAAUUCCUAAGGCCUGUCUAUCUGUCAGUUUUCCCCCUCCUCUCCCGAGUACUUCCUUUUAUAGCCCAUAUCUCAUCAUUCAACAUUGCCUUGCCGCUUUGGACGGCAAGAAAAACCAAGUUUAAGGAGCAUUGGCGCAGGCCAUCUUACUUAUGAAGUGGAAAUGGUUAGUUGGGUUAGUGUACUUGGCUUGCAGUUGCAUAGGGUCCAUUAUUUACAGUCUCUCCAGUCCUCAGACGCCCAUUUCUUUUCCUUGGCAGACGAAUUAAGAAGAGUGUGCCUUGUCAUUGCAUUGGCCUUGAUUCCAUUCUCUAAUAUAUAGAUAUAGCUUUGCUUCCAGGCUCAGGCUCAGGCUCCUGCAUUUCUAAUGUUAAAAUUUUAAUUUCUUCAAGUGGAGUCAGCUGUCAGCCCCCAUCUGAUGAAAUGAAACAAUUUACGAUGCUCUGCAAGACAUGGUAAAGGUUAAAGGCUCCAUGUCGGUACGAUGAGAGCAAGUAGUAAGAGAACAAUGAAAGCUAGCAGUUGAGACAGUGAAUGGUUUGGUGCACGUGUUGGCAUGUGUAUGCUUGGCCGCUGCACACUGCUGGACUGCUCACACCUCGAAAUUUGACAAUAGCUUGAAGCAUGACCAUCACUAGCCAAUAGCAGAAGCGGUAAAGUUACUUUCUCGCUAUAUUAAGGUUCAAUCCGCUUCGAUUCAAUUUUUCCUCGCCCCAAAUAACCUGAAUUUGAUCUUGGUCUGAUGUGCCUUUUAUCAAUAUCCAUGGUUUUAACAUAAACGAAAUUCUUAUCUUCCAUUUCAAGGAUCCUUUAAUUGGACAUUUUCCAUGGAUAUAAAUUGUGGUUGUAAUGGAUGUUUUAAAUUUAGGCUUAUAGAAACUAUAAGUUGAUAAGAACAUAUGUUCCUUUGACAAAACUCUACAAUAGUAUCUUGAGAGAUUCAUCUGUUACUCCUCUUGGACAAAAUAGUGGAAAAUAUCAUUGCUUGGAGAAA